CUUCCGUAGGUGAACCUGCGGAAGGAUCAUUACCUAGAGUUUGUAGACUUCGGUCUGCUACCUCUUACCCAUGUCUUUUGAGUACCUUCGUUUCCUCGGCGGGUCCGCCCGCCGAUUGGACAACAUUCAAACCCUUUGCAGUUGCAAUCAGCGUCUGAAAAAACAUAAUAGUUACAACUUUCAACAACGGAUCUCUUGGUUCUGGCAUCGAUGAAGAACGCAGCGAAAUGCGAUAAGUAGUGUGAAUUGCAGAAUUCAGUGAAUCAUCGAAUCUUUGAACGCACAUUGCGCCCCUUGGUAUUCCAUGGGGCAUGCCUGUUCGAGCGUCAUUUGUACCUUCAAGCUCUGCUUGGUGUUGGGUGUUUGUCUCGCCUCUGCGUGUAGACUCGCCUUAAAACAAUUGGCAGCCGGCGUAUUGAUUUCGGAGCGCAGUACAUCUCGCGCUUUGCACUCAUAACGACGACGUCCAAAAGUACAUUUUUACACUCUUGACCUCGGAUCAGGUAGGGAUACCCGCUGAACUUAAGCAUAUCAAUAAGCGGAGGAA
This 547-nucleotide ribosomal RNA is filed under the name Epicoccum nigrum. RNAcentral's name for it is "eukaryotic LSU rRNA". The stretch from base 176 to 329 matches the Rfam family "5.8S ribosomal RNA". Lineage: Eukaryota; Fungi; Ascomycota; Dothideomycetes; Pleosporales; Didymellaceae. The record is from RNAcentral. RNAcentral also lists the same sequence under 1 other name.